Molecule: ribosomal RNA, 468 nt
Filed under: uncultured bacterium
Lineage: Bacteria
Description: partial 16S ribosomal RNA
Rfam family: Bacterial small subunit ribosomal RNA
Source: RNAcentral
GACGAACGCUGGCGGCGUGCUUAACACAUGCAAGUCGAACGAUGAUCUCCCGCUUGCGGGGUUGAUUAGUGGCGCACGGGUGAGUAAUGCGUGAGUAACCUGCCCUUGACUCUGGGAUAAGCCUGGGAAACCGGGUCUAAUCUUGGUUACUACUUCCUGCCGCAUGGUGGGGGGUGGAAAGGGUUUUACUGGUUUUGGAUGGGCUCACGGCCUAUCAGCCUGUUGGUGGAGUUAUGGCUCACCAAGGCGCCGACGGGUAGCCGGCCUGGGAGGGUGAACGGCGACACGGGGAAGGAGACACGGCGCAGACGCCUACGGGAGGCAGCAGUGGGGAAUAUUGCACAAUGGGAGGAAGCCUGAUGCAGCGAUGCCGCGUGUGGGAUGACGGCCUUCGGGUUGUAAACCUCUUUCAGCCGGGAAGAAGCGGUAAGUGAGGGAACCGGAAGAAGAAGCGCCGGCUAACUACGG